GGUUCAUUAGUCCAGAGGUUAGGGCGCCGCACUGUCUAUGCGGAAACGUCGGUUCAAUUCCGGCAUGGACCG
Molecule: transfer RNA, 72 nt
Filed under: Lactobacillus sp. A27
Lineage: Bacteria; Bacillati; Bacillota; Bacilli; Lactobacillales; Lactobacillaceae
Description: tRNA-Asp
Rfam family: tRNA
About the family: Transfer RNA (tRNA) molecules are approximately 80 nucleotides in length.
Source: RNAcentral